This 232-nucleotide long non-coding RNA is filed under the name Elaeis guineensis (African oil palm). Its description in RNAcentral is "long non-coding RNA (EGUI_LNC051122)". The record is from RNAcentral. Lineage: Eukaryota; Viridiplantae; Streptophyta; Magnoliopsida; Arecales; Arecaceae.
UUGUGAAAGAAGCUGUGGGAGUUUAUCUAUCGGCAGAACUUGGAAACAUGACGGAAGCUCAGCCGUCGGAGAGGUUCGAAAAGAUGUCGUCCAAGGUCAGACACCGGUAGAAUCCCGGGAGGGUCACUAUUGAUACGAACUUCGGCUGGAGGGUAUUUUAUACCCAACACCAGUCCCCCUACUUUCGAGUUCGAGUUUCGAAUGAAGGAAGUAUAAAAAAAUUUUCACAGCC